AUGGCCUGGGAGAACAUCAUAAAACCAAAAGCUAUGGGAGGGCUUGGAUUCUGGGACUACAGACUCUUCAAUCAGGCCCUUCUUGCCCGGCAAGCAUGGCGGCUCCUAACUAAUCCAGAAAGUCUUUGUGCACAUGUCUUGAAGGUGAAAUAUUACCCUCAUGGUCGGUUGGAGGAUACCAUGUUUACAGGAAAUGAGUCAUCAACGUGGAAGGCCAUCACGUACGGCCUCGAGCUUCUCAAGAAGGGGCUUCUCUGGCGCAUCGGGAAUGGCCAGCAAGUACGCAUAUGGUGUGAUCCUUGGCUCCCGAGGAUGGCUUCUUAUAGGCCUGUUUCGCUACCGGGAUGGUGCAGGCUCCACCGCGUCGCUGAACUAGUGAACCACCAGGGAGGGUGGCACACUCAACUAAUCCAACAAAAUUUUGCCACUCCGGACAUCGACGAAACACUCAAGUUGCGGAUGGCACCGCGCAUGGAGGACGUCCUGGCUUGGGGCCCGGACCUGAGAGGUUUGUUCUCCGUCAGGUCCGCCUACAAGCUCGACCUGGAGGAGAAACUUUGCACGUCGAUGUGCGCCACGAGGAGGGCAUCGGACGACAACCGUGCUGUCUGGAAGGCAUUGUGGGGGUGCCCUGCUCCCCCAAAGGUACGAAUAUUUGGUUGGCGAUUGGCUACGAACACUCUUGCGACAAUGGAAAAUAAAAAGAGUAUAACUAUUGAAAAACUGACAUACGUGUUAUUUUUGGCAUUGAACGGGAGGAUACUUUCCACGCCGUCCGCAGAUGUCCAAUGGCAGGUGCUCUAUGGGACGGCAUGA
Molecule: ribosomal RNA, 816 nt
Filed under: Triticum aestivum (bread wheat)
Lineage: Eukaryota; Viridiplantae; Streptophyta; Magnoliopsida; Poales; Poaceae
Description: partial small subunit ribosomal RNA
Source: RNAcentral